Molecule: long non-coding RNA, 1011 nt
Filed under: Takifugu rubripes (torafugu)
Lineage: Eukaryota; Metazoa; Chordata; Actinopteri; Tetraodontiformes; Tetraodontidae
Description: lncRNA (ENSTRUG00000026521.1)
Source: RNAcentral
AUGGUGCAGAGAACAAGAAGAAGGCGACCACAAACAUGUUGGAAUGGUUUAAUAAAACGAAUUAGCGAGCAAACCCACGGACCACAGCACAGAUGUAAAGGACGCACGUGUGGCCAGCCUCUGCAGGCCUGCGUGCACACAAAUGUAUCUUUCAAGUCGGCGUGUGAUGUGGACCAGACCAGACAGCGAGCCGGACAGACGGAAUGAGGGAACGGGUGUCCAAUGUUGAGGAGAAAGGAAAAAAACAAAGAGAGGAGCCUCGAUGGUGCUCGAUUUUCUGUGCGUGGGAAAGGAGCGAUUGACUGGAGGUUGUGUAUGAAUUAGGCUGGCAGUGGUGGUUGUGGGGAGGUAGGAGGUUGCGUCCUGCCCUUGUGCCUCUUCCGCUCCUCUACUCCUCUACCCGUCUCCCUCUCUCCUCUCAGACUGUUUCUGGCUCAUUACCCUCUCCACCAGCAGACUUUCUCCCUAGAUGGCAGUGAAAAGAACUGUCCUCUCUCGCUCUCACUGUCGGAGCCGGAGUGCUGGCCUGCCCUCCCGAUAUUAAUCAACACACACUUGGAAGUGUGUGUGCACACACUCCCUAGCGAGCCUCUCUGGCAGACCUGCCGGUGGGCAGCCGUUUCUUCUUCUGGCCAUCACUUGCAAAUGAGACGUCCAGGCCCUGAGAGAAGCAGGCGAGGGACAGGAUAUUAGAAAAGUUUUAUUGGGCGGAAGCUUUGUUUUUGCUCUGCGGUUUGAUCCGGGUGGGAGAGUGUGGCAGGAAGCACAGAUGUUUGCUUCCACGUUUUCCCUCAUAUGUGUUUUUUAAUGUGUUUUAAAUCACAGAAUCACACUUGGUCAGAUUUGUUUGUGCUUUUUGUCAUCAGAACUGGCCACUAGGUGGCAUUCUUUAGAGAAAAUAGAAAAAAUAAUAAUAAUGGUUUAGCACUCAAGAUGUGGUAAAGACCUUACGAGGUGUGUAUUUAUAAUGCGUUCACACACUGUUGUCUGAACAGUUGUAAUAAAGGGAUU